This is a long non-coding RNA of Salvelinus fontinalis (brook trout), 886 nucleotides long. RefSeq lists it as uncharacterized. NCBI's taxonomy places the organism in Eukaryota, Metazoa, Chordata, Actinopteri, Salmoniformes, Salmonidae. The record is from RefSeq and is a predicted model, not a curated record. The transcript is spliced from 2 exons.
AUCAAAACAGGAAGUCAGAAAUCUGAGCUUGUCUGUAUUCACCAGAGUCCCUUAAGAAAUCCAAUUGUGUUAUGAAUGAUGUUGCACUGCCUAGGGGUUCCACUAGAUGUCAGCAAUCAAUAGAAAUUCCAAUGAGACUUCUAUGAUGUUGUGGGAGAGAAUGAGAGCAGAAUCAGUCAGGUGUCCAUCAAGCAGCCAUGCCCUGCUCAUGCCUUUUCUUCAUGCACGACACUGACCGUUCCAUUGCUCACGCAGACAAGAAGGAAUACUCCGGUUGGAACUUUAUUGAAGCUAUAUAUUAAAAACAUCCUAAUGAUUGAUUCAGUACUUAGUUUGAAAUGUUUCUUCGACCGGUAAUAUCACAUUUUGAAGUUUUUGUCCGAUAUAACGCUGACCAGAAUUAGCGUUUGGAUAUGUAAACCAGACGCGCUAACAAAAGAAGGUAUUUGGACAUAAAUAACGGAUUUUUUCAAACAAAACAAACAUUUAUUGUGGACCUGGGAUUCCUGGUGUGCUUUCUGAUCCUAAUCAACAAAGGCCUGCGCCCUGGACCCAUACUGACCUGUGGGUCCCAGAGUGAGGAGCAGCAAGACGGUGGGGUAGAGGGCCUGCCCUGCCAUGAGGAGGGAGCGGGUGUUGGAGUAAGAGCGCACUGUCUGGGAUGUCCAGCAGAGGGCGAACACAAGGCACAGAGCCCCCGAAUUCACAGCCAUGAGGAAUGACAGCACCCCAAAUACUUGCUCUGCCUCCAGGGCUGAAGACACACACACACACAGUGGUUAUAAUAUGAAAAAAAUGUGACACAUGAUUUUACAGUGACUUGUAAUAAUUUCUGCCUUGGACAGUGUUUCUCAGUUAUGUGUACGUUAAACUCUUCUUCCUCUCA